AGGACGAACGCUGGCGGCGUGCUUAACACAUGCAAGUCGAACGGUGAAGUUCUCUUCGGAGAGCGGAUCAGUGGCGAACGGGUGAGUAACACGUGAGCAACCUACCCCUGACUCUGGGAUAACUUCGGGAAACCGGAGCUAAUACCGGAUACGAACUUCGCAGACAUCUGCAGGAGUUGGAAAGAAUUUUGGUCAGGGAUGGGCUCGCGGCCUAUCAGCUAGUUGGUGAGGUAAUGGCUCACCAAGGCGACGGACGGGUAGCCGGCCUGAGA
This 272-nucleotide ribosomal RNA is filed under the name uncultured soil bacterium. Its description in RNAcentral is "partial 16S ribosomal RNA". It matches the Rfam family "Bacterial small subunit ribosomal RNA", at positions 26 to 297 of the family's 1533-position model. The record is from RNAcentral.